GAUCUGAACUUUAGGGACUAGUCAGAAACACCAUGGCCAGGCAGAAGGCCCAGUGGAUGAGCACUCCCAAGAGUUCAUUCAGGUUUGGUCUAUAGGAAAUUAUUAGAACUUCCUUUGCUGGAGCAAUAUCAGGAGCCUAAUGAGGUAAAAACCAAAUCGUGGGUGUAAGACAGUAAGGAUAGAUCAUGCUUCCAGAAGAACCAGCUUUGAGCUUUCCUCAUUCCCUUUGAGUUCAUUAGUUUUCACGCUUAUCUCUAUUUACCUCCUAUUUCCUUCGGGGUGUCGGUUCUGCUAUGGAGGGGAGUCUCACCUACGUAAUUCUCACCUUUUCCUCUUUUCUGAGGCAGGUGUUUCAGGUAGAAAAGUUUCCAAACAUCCCACAUGAGGCAUUGCACAAGUUUUAAAAUGUGGUGAUUACACCGUCAUUUCGUUCUGAGGAUUUCUAAGUUUCCAUCGUGAAUGGAAAUUCUUUGACCCCCCUCUUCCUGUCUUAUCCCCGGCAAGGAUGCAGUUUACAAAGAGAAGUUUACUACAGAAGGGCCACAAAAAUGACAGGCAUAUCUGAAAAAACAAAGACAUGGAAAUUAUCAAAAUAAAAAGUGUAACCACUGCAAUGACAACCAUAUUCACUAAGUUAAACAGAAGAUGAGAUGACACGUUGAAAGGGAAUUUAUUCAGAGCACAGCAAAGAAAUGCAAGAAUAUGGGGAAAACGAAAGAGAAGUUAAAGGCAUCAAAGCUAGAACAAGGCCUGUUAUGCCUGAUUGGAGUUCUGGAAGGAGAAUCAAGAUAAGAUGGAGCAGAGGUGAUCGCUACUGAGGAGAUCCCAGAAAUGAUGCAAACUGAAUGAUCUGUGAACCCACAGAUCCAGGACACAUAACAUAUGGGAAGCAGGAUAAACUAAAACCAAAUCCAUGCCUAGACACACUGCAUUGAAAUGGCAAAACAUCAAAGACAGAAGACCUUGAAAGUCACCGGGGAGAAAACACAGAUCCCCUGAAAAGGACGGUUGGAAGGAAGCCAACUUCUCAGCAGAACAAUGGAAGCCAGGAGACUGACCAUAACCCGUCGAGCGAAAAGAGCUGUCCACCUAGAUCUGUGCCCUCUGCAAAAGGGUGGCUCAGUCUAUUAAGUGUCUGCCUUCUGCUCAGGGACUCUUCCAGAAUAAGGGCCAAGAAUCUACAGGAUGCAAAACUGAGAGCAUUUACCACCAAGAGACCCAUUCUAAAGAAUAAACUUCAAGGAAGAAAAUGAUGCCAACAGGAUGGUAUGAUAUGACCAGAAAAAAACGUAACUCAAAUAAUGCUUAUCGCAUUUUCAACUCUUACUUGAAGAUUGGGCUGCUGAUGAAGAUGCUAUUUCUUGGAAGCAGUCCAAAAAAAGGGAAGUUUUGUACUGUCAGAAUAUAUUCAUAAGGAAAGCAAAUUUUUGCUCUCACACAAAUGUGUAUUUUCUUCAAAACCUUGGAUAAAUAGGUCUGGGAAUGAAAUGACAGAACUGGAUUUCAGAAUAACAAAGUCCAUAAAUUUUCACCUGGAUCUAAGAUUCUAUCGUGCGUUGUGGCAAUUUCAGCAUCUUCCCUGGAGAAGAAUGACAGGAGGAAUUGAAACAGGCAUAACUUAAGAAAAAGUUGUUCUCUGGGGCACCUGAGUGGCUCAGUGACACACAGUGAAGUGUCCAACUCUGAUUUCAGCUCAGGUCUUAAUCUCAGAGUUGGAGGAUGGAGCUCUCCGUUGGGCUCUGCGCUGAGUGUUGAGCUUGCUUGGGGUUCUCUCCUUCUCCCUCUGCCCCACCCUCCAAUUUUCACAUGCAUGCGUGAGCUCUCAAAGGAAGGAAGAAGGAAGGAAGAAAGAAAAAAAGGAAGGAAGGAAGAGGAAGGGAAGGGAGAAAGAAAGGGAAAAAGAAAGAAAGAAAGAAAAGGAAAAAGAAAAAAAAAAGUUGUCCUCUCGAGGUCUUUCAUUUCAGUUACUUCUCUAGCAGAGUCUAGCAAAUGAAUUAAUUUCUCUGCAAUCAACCAGUGGGUGUGAGCUGAUCCCACUAGGUUGGUAUUAUUACCUGACACCUACAAGAUUAAGUCAUUUUUUUAAAAAAUCAAGCCAUUUUUUAUCGGCAAUAGCUGCUGUUCCAUCUGUUUGACCAUCUCCCGUAAGUACAUGACAAAAUGAUUCCAGAGUCAUGCAGUUUCUUUUCUGCUGAAGACUGACGAAAAUGGCCCAUUAUCUUUUUGCUUCAGUCUAUAAUUCUGUUAAAAUAUAGUUGUACUUACAUUCUUAAUAUACAAACUUGAGAAUGUGUGCAAGAUGUUUUGCUUGUCAUUCCUAAGUCACUUACUAUCUUCGCUGUGAUUUUUCUACGGUCAAUCUAAAGAUGGGUUUUCUAUUCUAUAAACUCAUCUUCUAUCAGUUUUGCCCUUCUCUUGGUAAGACCACCUCUCCCCACUCCCAUGCCCUAGCCUUACUCCUUGACAAGCAACUUUAAGUAGUUUAAUUCCUGAAAGUCCUCACUUUCUGAAAAGGAAAAACACAACUGUUGCUUCUACUGUUUCCUUUUACUAUUUGCACCGAUACUUCUGGUCUCCCAACGUGUGGAUUUUUUUCUCCCACCGACCAAUUCUCCAACACCAGCUGCGUGUCUGUUGAUUCCAUCUAGUUCAGACGCCAUCUGCCUGAAGUCAGGCCUCACAGGGUAAGGGCUCAGCCGCACAACACUGUUCUCUUUUCACACACCAAGAGCAAGCAUGAGACCUCAGGUCAACCACAUUUCUGUCUGACGUGACUACAAAUCAGGGAUUCCUCAACCCCCUCCUCAGGUUUGAUAAUUUACUGUAAUGGCUCACAGAACUCAGGAAAACACUUAUGUUUACUGGUUUAUUACUUAAUAAAGGAUAUAGAUGAAUAGCCAGAUGAAGAGAUACACAGAAAGGUCCAGAAAGGGUCCUGAAAGCAAGAGCUUCUGGUCUCUGGAGUUGUGGUGCACGCCCCUCCCAGCACAUGGUUGUAUUCAUCAACCUGGAAGCUCUCUGAACCCCCUAGCUCGGGGAUUUUUAUUAAGGCUUCAUCACAUAGACAUGUAACUCAAUCUCCAGUCCUUCUUUCUUUGCUGGAGGAUGAGGGUAGGGCUGAAAUUUCCAAGCGUUUUAGCUGGUCUUGCUGACCCUUUCCCACCCUGAAGCCCACCAAGAGUCACCUUAUUAGAACAGCAGAUGUUCCCAUCACCCAGAAAAUUCUAAUGGGUAUGGGAACUCUGUCAGGAACCAGAAUCAAAAGACCAAAUAUUAGGACAGAAAGUUUUCCUAGCAUCUUUAUUGCUUAGGAAUUUACAAAGGGCUUUAGGAAUGCUGAUCAGGAGCUGAAGAUAAAGGCCAAAAUAUUUAUGUAUUUUAUUAUAUCACAAUACUAUACAAUAUCUUGAAGUAGUAGAAAUACUAACUUAUGGAAGACUUUAAUAAGUCCAAGACUCCUAUUGUAAAUUCUAAGGGUAUUUAAAAAAGAAAAAAAAAAAGUCUUGUGGAAUGUAAAGAAAAAAUAAUAAAUAUAUAUAUAUAUAAAUAUGUGUGUGUAUGUAUAUAUGAAUGACAGAUUUAAAUCCAAGUAUAUCAGUUACAUUAAAUAUAAAUGAACUAAACAUUGUAAUUAAAAGCAAAGGUUGCCAGCCAGGAUUUUAAAAAACAAAAAUAUUAAGCUAUAUGAUUCUGUCAGCAGAGUCUACUGGAAUAUAAGGAUAAGAAAUGUUAAAAGCAAUAAAAUGGAUUAAGGUUCAUCAUGGAAAUACUAAUCAAAAGAAAUCUGGCAUUAUUAUAUUAAUAUCAGAAGGAUUACCAAUAUUGCCUUUUCUACAUAGCAGGCAACGAGGGGUAAGUAUUUUAGUAUCCUAGUUCUUUUCAUUCAACCUGGAAUUCAUUGCUUGAAGAAAUCUCAAAAAUAUCUCAUCUUUGAUCGUUGAAAAUUGGUGUCAGUCUAUUUAGUUCUUUUAACAAGUAUAUUGUUUACAUUUUUCUCCAAGGACUCAAAACUAUGAGAAAUUAUCUUAAAGCACUCUUAUGAUGUCUCCACUUUGAAAUCUGAUAUGUGAAAAGAAAAUGUGUUUUGUUUACCUCAUUUUUUUCUAAAAAAUUUUUUUAUACAUUAUUUAUAUAUUAUGUCUAGAUAGAAGAAGGUUUAUUGUGGAUGGUGUUGUACAUGGUUUGGCUUUUUUCCUUCCUAUGAAAUGUUGAAGGGACAGAAUACUUCCUCAAAAGCCAUAACAAGUAUUCUUGAAAUACCUUUGGCUUAAGUGGAAUUAAAUAACUGAAAGCUAAA
This is a long non-coding RNA of Mustela lutreola (European mink), 4297 nucleotides long. RefSeq lists it as uncharacterized. The record is from RefSeq and is a predicted model, not a curated record. The transcript is spliced from 3 exons. Lineage: Eukaryota; Metazoa; Chordata; Mammalia; Carnivora; Mustelidae.